UCAAAAGUACCUAAUUUGUGUAUAUAAAACACACUCAUCAAAUACCCCCAAACUUGAAUCUUUGUUUGUCCUCAAGCAAAACACUAAGAACAAAAACUAUAAAAAUAAAUUUUAACAAUCAACCACUUGAGCAAUGAAUCAAUAAGUUUGAACAAUGGCCUUAAAGAUGUCAAAACAUGAUAACUCUAGAAAACUUUCAAAAUGUCAGAACGUCCAGGAUUUCAACUUGCUUGUUAGUCAUACCUUGCUUUAGAUCCUUUGUGUGUGUGUGUGUGUAUCCAUUUGCACUAAACCAAUUAUAGCUCGG
Molecule: long non-coding RNA, 307 nt
Filed under: Panax ginseng (ginseng)
Lineage: Eukaryota; Viridiplantae; Streptophyta; Magnoliopsida; Apiales; Araliaceae
Description: long non-coding RNA (PGIN_LNC009107)
Source: RNAcentral